AAAAUAAUAAAAUAUUAUUACUUUUUACUUUUUUAGGGAUUUUGAUAGUCCCAACCAUGGUACAUGCUCUAAGAGCAUCCUUAUCAAUGAGUUCUUAAGAACAUGAAAUUUUUUCUUAA
RNAcentral lists this small RNA (119 nucleotides) under Arabidopsis thaliana (thale cress). RNAcentral's name for it is "ATSL109960". Lineage: Eukaryota; Viridiplantae; Streptophyta; Magnoliopsida; Brassicales; Brassicaceae. The record is from RNAcentral.